GAUGAACGCUGGCGGCGUGCCUAAUACAUGCAAGUCGUGCGAACGGACGAGAAGCUUGCUUCUCUGAUGUUAGCGGCGGACGGGUGAGUAACACGUGGAUAACCUACCUAUAAGACUGGGAUAACUUCGGGAAACCGGAGCUAAUACCGGAUGAUAUUUUGAACCGCAUGGUUCAAAAGUGAAAGACGGUCUUGCUGUCACUUAUAGAUGGAUCCGCGCUGCAUUAGCUAGUUGGUAAGGUAACGGCUUACCAAGGCAACGAUGCAUAGCCGACCUGAGAGGGUGAUCGGCCACACUGGAACUGAGACACGGUCCAGACUCCUACGGGAGGCAGCAGUAGGGAAUCUUCCGCAAUGGGCGAAAGCCUGACGGAGCAACGCCGCGUGAGUGAUGAAGGUCUUCGGAUCGUAAAACUCUGUUAUUAGGGAAGAACAUAUGUGUAAGUAACUGUGCACAUCUUGACGGUACCUAAUCAGAAAGCCACGGCUAACUACGUG
This 497-nucleotide ribosomal RNA is filed under the name uncultured bacterium. Its description in RNAcentral is "partial 16S ribosomal RNA". It matches the Rfam family "Bacterial small subunit ribosomal RNA", at positions 28 to 507 of the family's 1533-position model. The record is from RNAcentral.